This 379-nucleotide ribosomal RNA is filed under the name Potamonautidae sp. Crab_3b_Kiambu. Its description in RNAcentral is "partial 16S ribosomal RNA". Lineage: Eukaryota; Metazoa; Arthropoda; Malacostraca; Decapoda; Potamonautidae. The record is from RNAcentral.
UGUGGUAGCAUAAUCACUAGGUUUUUAAUUUGAAUUUUGUAUGAAUGAUUUAUCAAGAGAAAAACCGUCUUUAUAUUAAAGUUUGAAUUAACUUUUAAGUGAAAAGGCUGAAUAUUCCAAACGGACCAUAAAACCCUAUAAAUCCUUACCUUACUUGUAAAUAUUUUAUUUAAUUUUGUCGCCUCACCAUACAAAUUUAAUUUUUUGUUAUGUUGGGGAGACAAAAUCUAUAAUUUAUAUUAACUGCUGGAAGAUAAAUCAAUAACUUAUCGCCCCCAUUGUAAAACAUCCCCUCUACACAUUAAAAGACCCUUUUACCUUACGGAUAACCACGUUUUUUUUUUUGACACUUCAUAUCUAAAAAAUUCAUUUUAACAUC